AGUCUGGUGGAGUUGUUCAUCGUUGCUCGUCGUCACUGGUUU
RNAcentral lists this small RNA (42 nucleotides) under Arabidopsis thaliana (thale cress). Its description in RNAcentral is "ATSL251080". Lineage: Eukaryota; Viridiplantae; Streptophyta; Magnoliopsida; Brassicales; Brassicaceae. The record is from RNAcentral.